AGCGAACGCUGGCGGCAGGCCUAACACAUGCAAGUCGAACGAACCUUUCGGGGUUAGUGGUGGACGGGUGAGUAACACGUGGGAACGUGCCUUUAGGUUCGGAAUAACUCAGGGAAACUUGUGCUAAUACCGAAUGUGCCCUUCGGGGGAAAGAUUAAUCGCCUUUAGAGCGGCCCGCGUCUGAUUAGCUAGUUGGUUGAGGUAAUGGCUCACCAAGGCGACGAUCAGUAGCUGGUCUGAGAGGAUGAUCAGUCACAUUGGGACUGAGACACGGCCCAAACUCCUACGGGAGGCAGCAGUGGGGAAUCUUGCGCAAUGGGCGAAAGCCUGACGCAGCCAUGCCGCGUGAAUGAUGAAGGUCUUAGGAUUGUAAAAUUCUUUCACCGGGGACGAUAAUGACGGUACCCGGAGAAGAAGCCCCGGCUAACUUCGUG
Molecule: ribosomal RNA, 434 nt
Filed under: uncultured bacterium
Lineage: Bacteria
Description: partial 16S ribosomal RNA
Rfam family: Bacterial small subunit ribosomal RNA
Source: RNAcentral